UAAACCAAUUGGGCCAAAGC
RNAcentral lists this small nuclear RNA (20 nucleotides) under Arabidopsis thaliana (thale cress). RNAcentral describes it as "snRNA_04412". The record is from RNAcentral. Lineage: Eukaryota; Viridiplantae; Streptophyta; Magnoliopsida; Brassicales; Brassicaceae.